GUUGUCCGGAAUUAUUGGGCGUAAAGAGCUCGUAGGCGGUUUGUCGCGUCUGCUGUGAAAACCCGAGGCUCAACCUCGGGCCUGCAGUGGGUACGGGCAGACUAGAGUGCGGUAGGGGGAGAUUGGAAUUCCUGGUGUAGCGGUGGAAUGCGCAGAUAUCAGGAGGAACACCGGUGGCGAAGGCGGGUCUCUGGGCCGAUACUGACGCUGAGGAGCGAAAGCGUGGGGAGCGAACAGG
This 238-nucleotide ribosomal RNA is filed under the name uncultured bacterium. RNAcentral describes it as "partial 16S ribosomal RNA". It matches the Rfam family "Bacterial small subunit ribosomal RNA", at positions 540 to 776 of the family's 1533-position model. The record is from RNAcentral.